UACGUAGGGGGCAAGCGUUAUCCGGAUUUACUGGGUGUAAAGGGAGCGUAGACAGCUGAUUAAGUCUGAAGUGAAAGCCCGGGGCUCAACUCCGGGAUUGCUUUGGAAACUGGUUAGCUAGAGUGCAGGAGAGGUAAGUGGAAUUCCUAGUGUAGCGGUGAAAUGCGUAGAUAUUAGGAGGAACACCAGUGGCGAAGGCGGCUUACUGCACUGUAACUGACGUUGAGGCUCGAAAGCGUGGGGAGCAAAC
This 250-nucleotide ribosomal RNA is filed under the name uncultured prokaryote. Its description in RNAcentral is "partial 16S ribosomal RNA". It matches the Rfam family "Bacterial small subunit ribosomal RNA", at positions 524 to 773 of the family's 1533-position model. The record is from RNAcentral.